Thermomicrobium roseum DSM 5159 is the source of this 264-nucleotide non-coding RNA. The record is from Rfam. Lineage: Bacteria; Pseudomonadati; Thermomicrobiota; Thermomicrobia; Thermomicrobiales; Thermomicrobiaceae.
CCGUGCUAGGCGGGGAGCUAGCGGUGCCCUGUACCCGCAAUCCGCUCUAGCGGGGCCGAAUUCCCUCCCGAGGUCCAACCCUGUGGGACUGCUUGGGCCACGCGGUGAGGAUGGUUGGGUCCCACGCGGCGAGGACCCGUGAACCUGGUCAGGGCCGGAAGGCAGCAGCCAUAAGCGGUCUUCCUCGGGCGACGUGGGAGUGCCUGGCCGGAGCUAGCGAGCCCAGUGCAAGCUGGAGGGUUGCGAUCGACGGAGGGUGCACGG